ACAUGCCUACAACAUAGCAUUAAUGCAUUGGAUCCCAUUAGAACUCUGCAAUUAAGCAUUCUCAGGAUAGAGUAGUACUGGGAUGGGCGACUUCAUGGGAAGUCCUAGUGUUUUACAUGCC
This is a non-coding RNA of Picea glauca (white spruce), 121 nucleotides long. NCBI's taxonomy places the organism in Eukaryota, Viridiplantae, Streptophyta, Pinopsida, Pinales, Pinaceae. The record is from Rfam.